Mesocricetus auratus (golden hamster) is the source of this 587-nucleotide long non-coding RNA. RefSeq lists it as uncharacterized. The transcript has 3 exons. The record is from RefSeq and is a predicted model, not a curated record. Lineage: Eukaryota; Metazoa; Chordata; Mammalia; Rodentia; Cricetidae.
UGAACCAAAGGAGAGCAAGGUGGAAGCCACCAGAACUUUCAUAACCCAGUGUCAGUUGUGGCCAGUGUCAUAUCUACAAUACCCUUAUGAGUGACCAGGUCUGCCCUAGUUAGCAUGGGAGGGAUCUAUACAAGGCCAUGGAUACCAGAAGAUGGACUCACUGAAGGGUGGCUGCUAUAGUGAGAGAAUGCAAAGACAGAAAAUGGUCUGAGACUUCAUUGUCAACUGGAUCACAAUGGCAUCAUCUUAACAUUCAAGAGGAUGAUGUCCACAGAAAACAAACAAGAGUUCAAGAUCCACAUUUGGUACUGUAUCAUUUCUGCUACCAGUGAUCCCCAAACCACACCUCUCCAAUCCUCCACCAUGGGGAGGAACUGGAACCUCCCAGAAAUGAAGUCGGAGUUUAAGGGCACAGAGUGAGCAGAACACAGUUAAGUACUGGGAUCCUAUCACCCUGGUCCAGGACCUUGUGCACACUGGGAGAGUAAUCUGUCACUGAGCUAUAUAGUCACAACCCUUUAAAUACAUUAAUCACCACCAAGAAGAAGGUGGCAUUGCCACUAGUUACUUUAAGGGACUGUGGCUCA